GGACCCGCACAAGCAGCGGAGCGUGUGGUUUAAUUCGAUGCGACGCGAAGAACCUUACCAGGGCUUGACAUGGACGCGCACCGGCCAGAGAUGGUCGUGCCCGCAAGGGACGCGUUCACAGGUGCUGCAUGGCUGUCGUCAGCUCGUGCCGUGAGGUGUUGGGUUAAGUCCCCCAACGAGCGCAACCCCUAUCGUCGGUUGUAUUUUUCCGGCGAAACUGCCCGCAAGGGAGGAAGGAGGGGAUGACGUCAAGUCAGCACGGCCCUUACGUCCUGGGCUACACACACGCUACAAUGGCUGGUACAAUGGGUUGCCAACCCGCAAGGGGGAGCCAAUCCCACCAAAGCCAGCCUCAGUUCAGAUUGGUGGCUGCAACCCGCCACCAUGAAGGUGGAGUUGCUAGUAACCGCAGGUCAGCACACUGCGGUGAAUACGUUCCCGGGUCUU
Molecule: ribosomal RNA, 447 nt
Filed under: uncultured bacterium
Lineage: Bacteria
Description: bacterial SSU rRNA
Rfam family: Bacterial small subunit ribosomal RNA
Source: RNAcentral